Molecule: ribosomal RNA, 406 nt
Filed under: uncultured bacterium
Lineage: Bacteria
Description: partial 16S ribosomal RNA
Rfam family: Bacterial small subunit ribosomal RNA
Source: RNAcentral
AUUGAACGCUGGCGGCAUGCCUAACACAUGCAAGUCGAACGAGUGGCGGACGGGUGAGUAAUGUAUGGGAAACUGCCUGGUGGCGGGGGAUAACUACUGGAAACGGUGGCUAAUACCGCAUACCAUCAGAUUGGCCCAGAUGGGAUUAGCUAGUUGGUGGGGUAACGGCUCACCAAGGCGACGAUCCCUAGCUGGUCUGAGAGGAUGACCAGCCACACUGGAACUGAGACACGGUCCAGACUCCUACGGGAGGCAGCAGUGGGGAAUAUUGGACAAUGGGCGAAAGCCUGAUGCAGCCAUGCCGCGUGUAUGAGGAAGGCCUUCGGGUUGUAAAGUACUUUCAGCAGGGAGGCGGUAGCAGCAGAGGAAGCACCGGCUAACUCCGUGCCAGCAGCCGCGGUAAUAC